GCGAUAUUUAACGCAAGUAUAACUUUAUUGUGGCGCGUUUAAGCUUAUUUCGUAGUGCGAUAACAACAAUUUUUCACCUGCGAGAAGAACAUAUAGCAUGGAAAACGGAAUAACAGUAAAUAAAGCGGGAAUGCGCGGCGACAGCCAGAUUAGUCAUAGCAACCAAAUAACCGUUUUGCUGGAGCAAAUAGCAGCCGAAUAACGCUUUUCAGGCGGUGCAAGUGCGCGCACGCGCAACGCGAGAGCGGUCGAGCGAGCGUCAAGCGGGAAGGAUACGCCAGCCGGAGUAGGGGAGUUCAUUCAUAAAUGCUCGAGUGAAGGCGUCAAUGGAUGCGCCUGCAAACGAACGAGCGAGACAGCAUCCGCGUUUCCCUCGCCGCCGUCCAACCGUUCAUCGUCGGUCUUCUCUCUCUCUCUCUCUUUCUUCCCAGUGCAUUACUCUUUCUCUCUCUCUCUCUCUCUCUCUCUCUCUCAUCCUCUUAUUCUUUCUCUCGGUUCCACCACUAUCGUCGACUUUACGGUCUCCUUGUCGCGCAUAGAAUGCAACGUUCUACUCGUGAAGAUUUUACGUAGCAGGUUCCAGAGAACGCAUAACGCAUCAAGUUGGAGUUCAUCUGUAUUUACCGACACAUUUUUGGAUGAGUCAAAUACCUUAAAGUCCUCAGUAUACCUAUGUUGGUCGUUCACCCUACAGUUGGCUCAAACGUACACAAACUCGUCUCGUCAAAAACUUUACCGUGCACGAUAGCGCCGCGGAUCCGUAUGUAUUAUGCGCACACGCACACAUGACAGAUCAUAAUUACGCAUGUCGCUGCUCCGCUAUCGGAGGUGAUGGUACCGGCAUUCGCCGAAACGCAUCUCACGCCCCGUUGUAUUCCCUCGCGAUCGCAUCUGCGUGUGUAUGCGACCCCAUGCAACAUAAAUGUACACGCAAAACAAACGCGUACACACACACACACACACACACACAAACAACGGCGACUGCAGCGUAGGCGUGCUAAGGCGCGCGACCCCUCUCAUUCUUUCUUUCUUUCUUUCUUUCUUUCUUUCUUUCUCUUUAUCCCCGCUGCUCGUUUUUCUCCCUGGGCGCUCGGUGAUAAGUGCAUACCGCGAAAAACGAAACGCCGGAUGUGACGUCACCGUGCCCUGGCAUAUUUGCGUGCGCGACGACGGUAACGCGGCUCGCAGCUGCAACUGCGACUCCGGCGGCGCGAUGAAACGCCGUCCAUGAGAUUAGGCACGCAAAAAUCAUCGACAACGGACGAUCCUUUCAUCUGUCGUCGAAUUUUUUAUGCUCCAGUCGUCUGAUUAAACGUACGUAAUCUCUGUGAUGUAGCUCUAGCGUAGGUCGCGUGCAUAGAUAAAAGAUGAGUGUAAAUUAAUUUUCAUGUAGAUAGAAGAUGAACUCUUGAUGCCUCCUGUUUUAAUAUAUUAAUAAUAUUAUUUAAAGAUGGAAAUUGUACAUAUAAAUUGUUAAAAUUUUAAAUGAGGAAUCAAAAUUUAAGAGAAACAAUUUUUUUAUAGAUUUUAUGUGGAUAAAAGACG
Long non-coding RNA from Cataglyphis hispanica, 1545 nucleotides. RefSeq lists it as uncharacterized. The record is from RefSeq and is a predicted model, not a curated record. The transcript has 4 exons. Lineage: Eukaryota; Metazoa; Arthropoda; Insecta; Hymenoptera; Formicidae.